Oppia nitens is the source of this 253-nucleotide long non-coding RNA. RefSeq lists it as uncharacterized. The transcript has 3 exons. Lineage: Eukaryota; Metazoa; Arthropoda; Arachnida; Sarcoptiformes; Oppiidae. The record is from RefSeq and is a predicted model, not a curated record.
UAUAAAAAGUUUUAUAUAUUUUGAUAGAAAAACACAAUCUUAUAUGAUUUAUAUUGAUGACAAAACUACAGCAAUUAUGGAUCCAUUUGCAGUUACAUUAUAUGAUUCAGAAGAUACUACUAAUGGUCUUAAAUUAAUGAUGCCAUUAGUUGAUAGAUUUGCACAGGAAUGGGAUAGGGAUCCUAUUAUUAUGGAACUGUUAUCGGCUAUUAUGUUAUUUAAUCCAAAUCGACCCAAACUAAAGUACCAUCAC